CCUGGGGAGAAAUAAAAGCAUAUGCAUGACGACGUCGUCGUUGUAGAAUACCAGGACCGUCGACAGAGAGAGAGAGGGAGGCGGGAAAUAAAACGGCGCGAGGGCCAAAAAAAACAAUUCAACACGCGCGCUUCUCGAUCUGCUAAAUGCACGCCUCUAAGCGGAUUCCGAGCAGCGGUCACACCUCGCCGUCGCCGCCGC
This 201-nucleotide long non-coding RNA is filed under the name Linum usitatissimum (flax). Its description in RNAcentral is "long non-coding RNA (LUSI_LNC000023)". Lineage: Eukaryota; Viridiplantae; Streptophyta; Magnoliopsida; Malpighiales; Linaceae. The record is from RNAcentral.